RNAcentral lists this ribosomal RNA (503 nucleotides) under uncultured bacterium. Its description in RNAcentral is "bacterial SSU rRNA". It matches the Rfam family "Bacterial small subunit ribosomal RNA", at positions 791 to 1296 of the family's 1533-position model. The record is from RNAcentral.
UAGUCCACGCCGUAAACGAUGAAUACUAGGUGUGGGGGUCAUAAGACCUCUGUGCCGAAGCUAACGCAUUAAGUAUUCCGCCUGGGGAGUACGGUCGCAAGACUGAAACUCAAAGGAAUUGACGGGGGCCCGCACAAGCAGCGGAGCAUGUGGUUUAAUUCGAAGCAACGCGAAGAACCUUACCAAGGCUUGACAUCCUCUGACAACCCAAGAGAUUGGGCUUUUCUUCGGAACAGAGUGACAGGUGGUGCAUGGUUGUCGUCAGCUCGUGCCGUGAGGUGUUGGGUUAAGUCCCGCAACGAGCGCAACCCUUAUGUUUAGUUGCCAGCACGUAAUGGUGGGAACUCUAAACAGACCGCCGAGGACAACUCGGAGGAAGGUGGGGACGACGUCAAAUCAUCAUGCCCCUUAUGUCUUGGGCUACACACGUGCUACAAUGGCAGAUACAAAGAGCUGCGAUACCGUAAGGUGGAGCGAAUCUCAUAAAGUCUGUCCCAGUUCGG